Molecule: long non-coding RNA, 625 nt
Filed under: Anas zonorhyncha (Eastern spot-billed duck)
Lineage: Eukaryota; Metazoa; Chordata; Aves; Anseriformes; Anatidae
Description: lncRNA (ENSAZOG00000004887.1)
Source: RNAcentral
GGGACACAAUAACUUGGGGACACGGGGCAAUCAGGAUUUGGGGACAUGGGGACAGCAGAAUUUGGGGACACGGGCACAGCACCACCCCCUGCUCCGUCCCCCCCAGGCCUCUCGGUGGCCCUCAGCCCGUCCCCGUCCCCGUCCCCGCUCGCCCCGCUGGCCCCAGGGGACCAUGAACGUGCUGGCCCCCGUCCGCAGGGACAGGAUCAUCGCCGACCUGCCACAGUGUUUUCGGAAGGAGGCCGCCCUGCACGCCCGCAACGCCUUCCACCCCAGCGUGGCCAGCGCCUGCCAGGAGCAGCGGACGGGCACCGUGGGGUUCAAGAUCUCCAAAAUCAUCGUGGUGGGGGACCUGUCGGUGGGGAAGACCUGCCUGAUCACCCGUUAACGGGCACUUUUUUGGGGGGGCACAGUGAGAAGACCCCCCCCAGGGGGUCUGACGCUCAUCUCCUGCUCUCCCCCCCCAACCCCCCAAAAAGCUUCUGCAAGGACACCUUCGACAAGAACUACAAGGCGACCAUCGGGGUGGAUUUCGAGAUGGAGCGCUUCGAGGUGCUGGGGGUGCCCUUCAGCCUGCAGCUGUGAGUUGGUGCCAGCCCCCCGCCCCCCAAAAAGCACCCCCUGA